GCCAAUGUGGUGUAGUGGUUUGAGUGUUAAGACUAGGACACUAGAGACCAGGGUUCGAAUCCCAGCUUGGCCA
RNAcentral lists this transfer RNA (73 nucleotides) under Phrynosoma platyrhinos (Desert horned lizard). RNAcentral's name for it is "tRNA-OTHER". Lineage: Eukaryota; Metazoa; Chordata; Lepidosauria; Squamata; Phrynosomatidae. The record is from RNAcentral.